This 204-nucleotide microRNA precursor is filed under the name Oryza sativa Indica Group (long-grained rice). RNAcentral's name for it is "MIR812 microRNA precursor family". It matches the Rfam family "MIR812 microRNA precursor family". Lineage: Eukaryota; Viridiplantae; Streptophyta; Magnoliopsida; Poales; Poaceae. The record is from Rfam by way of RNAcentral.
AAUACAUGAUGCUGUUGAUUUUUUCUCACAUGUUUGACCAUUCAUCUUAUUCAAAAAAUUUACGUAAUUAUAAUUUAUUUUGUUAUGAGUUGUUUUAUCACUCAUAGUACUUUAAGUGUGAUUUAUAUCUUUUACAUUUACAUAAAAUUUUUGAAUAAGAUGAAUGGUCAAACAUAUGAGAAAAAGUCAAUGGCGUCAUCUAUU